GCAUUGAAGGCCAUGGCUUGCAUCUCUCUUCCUCCUCCAGACAGGGUAGUGAUUAAUAUAAUUUCCAGUGGCAGCCUGUGCCCUGAGUUAUCCCAGGGAAGUGCCAUCUCAUACAGCUCUAAACACUGCCAGGGGACGUGGUCUCAGUGGGUGGCUUGAGCCAUUCUCUAGAUUUUGUUUUGUUUACCAGUACAGAAGUAGCCUAAAUAGCUGAAUUGGAUUCCCUUACAUCCUGGGAAGUAAUUUGUUCAGUCGUGUGUAGAAACUUCCACAUUCUACCGUAGGACUGCUCUGGUGAGGUGCAGGAAGUGCUGUUGGAGUUGUGCUGGGGGAGGUGCUUGGCUGUUGCAGUACUGGGUUUCAUAGGUAGAAUUGACUUGAAGACAUUUCCUAAUGUAAUUAAUCUGCAUUUUCUUUAAGAAAAUAGCUUCAUUGAAUAUACUUUUUUGAAACUAGACUUGGUAAAAUUAGAAUUGCUUCAACUUGUGUGAAGGAAUUUGGGGAAAUCUUGGCAAAAGAAAAGAUUUGCAUCUUAAAGCAUUGUAAACUCAUUAAAAUUCUUCUCAUGGAUAAUUAAAGAAAAGUGAAUUAAAAGGAAAGUUUAACAGUAAGCAGCUCACAGGCACUGUGACAUUUCAAGCAUGUUAAUAUCAGAAAGAAGUAGCUUUUGUAGCAGUAGUCUCCUCCUCUCAUAUUACGUGUUGUUUUUUCUAACAAAUAACCAGUUACUGUUGGUUUCUUUGGUUCUCCAAGCAGCUCAUUUAUGCCUGAUCUGCACAGUGCUUUGGCAUACUUGUGACCAGCUUUGCAGGGUUUGCCAGCAUGCCUAACAGUGGAGAGGCUCUCAGGAAACAAUUACAGGAUGAAAAUGCAAGGAAUGUUUCAGGAAGCUGUGAAAAUGGAACCUUUACAGAUGCACAGCCUGUCUGCAGGGAUCUGCUGCCUCAUUCAGAGGAGACCCAGGGUGAAGGCAUAGAGCCAACAGGUAAGCAUGUAAAAGAUGGUCCUUGGAAAUUUGAGCUCUUCUCAGAUUUUUUUUCAAUGUAAUUUUUAUGUCUAUUCUAGCAGGUCUUGACUGACAAUUUC
Molecule: long non-coding RNA, 1086 nt
Filed under: Ficedula albicollis (Collared flycatcher)
Lineage: Eukaryota; Metazoa; Chordata; Aves; Passeriformes; Muscicapidae
Description: lncRNA (ENSFALG00000024431.1)
Source: RNAcentral